UCGUAGCGAUGGACGCAGCCUGAUCAGCCAUGCCGCGUGAGUGAUGAAGGCCUUCGGGUUGUAAAGCUCUUUUACCCGGGAAGAAAAUGACGGUACCCGUCGAAUAAGCCCCGGCUAACUCCGUGCCACCCCCCGCGGUAAUGUGCCAGCAGCCGCGGUAAUA
Molecule: ribosomal RNA, 163 nt
Filed under: uncultured bacterium
Lineage: Bacteria
Description: partial 16S ribosomal RNA
Rfam family: Bacterial small subunit ribosomal RNA
Source: RNAcentral